GACGAACGCUGGCGGCGCGCCUAACACAUGCAAGUCGAACGAGCGAGCGAGAGCUUGCUUUCUUGAGCGAGUGGCGAACGGGUGAGUAACGCGUGAGGAACCUGCCUCAAAGAGGGGGACAACAGUUGGAAACGACUGCUAAUACCGCAUAAGCCCACGGUGCCGCAUGGCACAGAGGGAAAAGGAGCAAUCCGCUUUGAGAUGGCCGCGCGUCCGAUUAGCUAGUUGGUGAGGUAACGGCCCACCAAGGCGACGAUCGGUAGCCGGACUGAGAGGUUGGACGGCCACAUUGGGACUGGGACACGGCCCAGACUCCUACGGGAGGCAGCAGUGGGGAAUAUUGCACAAUGGGGGAAACCCUGAUGCAGCGACGCCGCGUGGAGGAAGAAGGUCUUCGGAUUGUAAACUCCUGUUGUUGGGGAAGAUAAUGACGGUACCCAACAAGGAAGUGACGGCUAACUACGUG
RNAcentral lists this ribosomal RNA (466 nucleotides) under uncultured bacterium. Its description in RNAcentral is "partial 16S ribosomal RNA". It matches the Rfam family "Bacterial small subunit ribosomal RNA", at positions 28 to 507 of the family's 1533-position model. The record is from RNAcentral.